CCUACGGGAGGCAGCAGUGAGGAAUAUUGGUCAAUGGACGAGAGUCUGAACCAGCCAAGUAGCGUGAAGGAUGACUGCCCUAUGGGUUGUAAACUUCUUUUAUAUGGGAAUAAAAUGUUCCACGUGUGGGAUUUUGUAUGUACCAUAUGAAUAAGGAUCGGCUAACUCCGUGCCAGCAGCCGCGGUAAUACGGAGGAUCCGAGCGUUAUCCGGAUUUAUUGGGUUUAAAGGGAGCGUAGGUGGAUUGUUAAGUCAGUUGUGAAAGUUUGCGGCUCAACCGUAAAAUUGCAGUUGAAACUGGCAGUCUUGAGUACAGUAGAGGUGGGCGGAAUUCGUGGUGUAGCGGUGAAAGGCUUAGAUAUCACGAAGAACUCCGAUGGCGAAGGCAGCUCACUGGACUGCAACUGACACUGAGGCUCGAAAGUGUGGGUAUCAAACAGGAUUAGAUACCCGGGUAGUC
This 460-nucleotide ribosomal RNA is filed under the name uncultured bacterium. RNAcentral describes it as "partial 16S ribosomal RNA". It matches the Rfam family "Bacterial small subunit ribosomal RNA", at positions 338 to 795 of the family's 1533-position model. The record is from RNAcentral.